UACAGGGGGGGCAAGCGUUGUUCGGAAUUACUGGGCGUAAAGGGCUCGUAGGCGGCCAACUAAGUCAGACGUGAAAUCCCUCGGCUUAACCGGGGAACUGCGUCUGAUACUGGAUGGCUUGAGAUUGGGAGAGGGAUGCGGAAUUCCAGGUGUAGCGGUGAAAUGCGUAGAUAUCUGGAGGAACACCGGUGGCGAAGGCGGCAUCCUGGACCAACACUGACACUGAGGAGCGAAAGCCAGGGGAGCAAACGGG
Molecule: ribosomal RNA, 253 nt
Filed under: uncultured bacterium
Lineage: Bacteria
Description: partial 16S ribosomal RNA
Rfam family: Bacterial small subunit ribosomal RNA
Source: RNAcentral